This 75-nucleotide transfer RNA is filed under the name Richelia sp. RNAcentral's name for it is "tRNA-Thr". It matches the Rfam family "tRNA". From Rfam's summary of the family: Transfer RNA (tRNA) molecules are approximately 80 nucleotides in length. Their secondary structure includes four short double-helical elements and three loops (D, anti-codon, and T loops). The record is from RNAcentral. Lineage: Bacteria; Bacillati; Cyanobacteriota; Cyanophyceae; Nostocales; Nostocaceae.
GCCCAUGUGGCUCAGGGGUAGAGCACACCCUUGGUAAGGGUGAGGUCGGCAGUUCAAAUCUGCCUAUCAGCACCA